GACGAACGCUGGCGGCGUGCUUAACACAUGCAAGUCGAGCGGUAAGGCCCUUUCGGGGGUACACGAGCGGCGAACGGGUGAGUAACACGUGGGUGACCUGCCCUCAGCUCUGGGAUAAGCCUGGGAAACCGGGUCUAAUACCGGAUAUGACUCCAUGACGCAUGUUGUGGGGUGGAAAGCCCUGUGCGGCUGAGGAUGGGCCCGCGGCCUAUCAGCUUGUUGGUGGGGUGAUGGCCUACCAAGGCGACGACGGGUAGCCGGCCUGAGAGGGCGACCGGCCACACUGGGACUGAGACACGGCCCAGACUCCUACGGGAGGCAGCAGUGGGGAAUCUUGCGCAAUGGGCGAAAGCCUGACGCAGCGACGCCGCGUGAGGGAUGACGGCCUGGU
Molecule: ribosomal RNA, 391 nt
Filed under: uncultured bacterium
Lineage: Bacteria
Description: bacterial SSU rRNA
Rfam family: Bacterial small subunit ribosomal RNA
Source: RNAcentral